This 253-nucleotide ribosomal RNA is filed under the name uncultured bacterium. RNAcentral's name for it is "partial 16S ribosomal RNA". It matches the Rfam family "Bacterial small subunit ribosomal RNA", at positions 524 to 776 of the family's 1533-position model. The record is from RNAcentral.
UACGUAGGGUGCGAGCGUUAAUCGGAAUUACUGGGCGUAAAGCGUGCGCAGGCGGUUGUGUAAGACAGGGGUGAAAUCCCCGGGCUUAACCUGGGAACUGCACUUGUGACUGCACAGCUGGAGUACGGCAGAGGGGGAUGGAAUUCCGCGUGUAGCAGUGAAAUGCGUAGAUAUCUGGAGGAACACCGGUGGCGAAGGCGACAUCCUGGACCGGUAUUGACGCUGAGGCGCGAAAGCCAGGGGAGCAAACGGG